AGUGAACGCUGGCGGUAGGCCUAACACAUGCAAGUCGAACGGCAGCACAGUAAGAGCUUGCUCUUACGGGUGGCGAGUGGCGGACGGGUGAGGAAUACAUCGGAAUCUACUUUUUCGUGGGGGAUAACGUAGGGAAACUUACGCUAAUACCGCAUACGACCUACGGGUGAAAGCAGGGGAUCUUCGGACCUUGCGCGAUUGAAUGAGCCGAUGUCGGAUUAGCUAGUUGGCGGGGUAAAGGCCCACCAAGGCGACGAUCCGUAGCUGGUCUGAGAGGAUGAGAAGCCACACUGGAACUGAGACACGGUCCAGACUCCUACGGGAGGCAGCAGUGGGGAAUAUUGGACAAUGGGCGCAAGCCUGAUCCAGCCGUACCGCGUGGGUGAAGAAGGCCUUCGGGUUGUAAAGCCCUUUUGUUGGGAAAGAAAAGCAGCAGGUUAAUACCCCGCUGUUCUGACGGUACCCAAAGAAUAAGCACCGGCUAACUUCGUG
RNAcentral lists this ribosomal RNA (492 nucleotides) under uncultured bacterium. RNAcentral describes it as "partial 16S ribosomal RNA". It matches the Rfam family "Bacterial small subunit ribosomal RNA", at positions 29 to 507 of the family's 1533-position model. The record is from RNAcentral.